Non-coding RNA from Poecile atricapillus (Black-capped chickadee), 444 nucleotides. The record is from the annotation of a RefSeq genome assembly. NCBI's taxonomy places the organism in Eukaryota, Metazoa, Chordata, Aves, Passeriformes, Paridae.
CGGGCGGCCGUGACCCUGCUGGAGUCCGGGGGGGACCUCCAGCCCCCCGGGGGGUCCCUGCGCCUCCUCUGCCGUGGACAAGGAUUCACCUUCGGGAGUUUCGACAUGUUCUGGGUGCGCCAGAAACCCGGGAAGGCGCUGGAAUUUGUGGCGAGCAUCAGCAGUGGUGGCACCACCAAAUACGCGCCGUCGGUGCAGGGCCGGUUCACCAUCGCCAGGGACAACGGGCAGAGCUCGGUGACGCUGAGCAUGAACAACCUCCAGGACGAGGAUUCCGGGGUUUAUUUCUGUGCCAAAUGUUACACCAGUGGUUGUUACAGCAGUUAUGGUGCUGCUGCUGCUGCUAUUGGUUAUGUUGACGAUGUCGCUGAUGGCCCUGACCCCCCCUUGAUGGAUCCCCAAAUGUCCCAGAAUUCCGAAAUCCUGCCCCAAUCCCAGCCCUGA